UGAGAUGGGAGAUCACGUGAGCCCGGGAGUUUGCAUUUACAGUAAGCUAUGAUUGAGCUACCACACUCCAGCCUAGAGAGCAAGACCCUGUCUCUUGAAAAAAGAAACCCGGUCGGGCGCGGUGGCUCCCGGGCAAAGGUGUCCUCCCACCUGGUGAGUUAGAGAGGAAGGUGUUAGGUGUGAGGCAGGAAAGAAGAUAAGAAAGAAGACAGGCAGCUUCGGCCCUCCAGGAGCGGGGACCCCCCGCCACCCCCACAACCCAUGCCAACUUCAGGUGUCCAACACCAGAUGGGGCUGCUCCCUCCAUCCCCAACUCAGGUUCUCCCACCCCCUCCCAGCUGGACAGACACCAAAAUCCUGGCCCAGGCCUGGACUCCAACAGUGGGACGAAUCAAACAGUUCCAGUUCUACACACAUUUCUAUUUUAUUAUGGAAAAGGUGGAAACGCCACCUUCUCCACAACAGCAACCAGU
RNAcentral lists this long non-coding RNA (473 nucleotides) under Homo sapiens (human). RNAcentral's name for it is "HSALNT0246326". Lineage: Eukaryota; Metazoa; Chordata; Mammalia; Primates; Hominidae. The record is from RNAcentral.